GAUGAACGCUGGCGGCGUGCUUAACACAUGCAAGUCGAACGGUGAAAGCGGAGCUUGCUCUGCUGGAUCAGUGGCGAACAGGUGAGUAACACGUGAGCAAUCUGCCCGUGACUCUGGGAUAAGCGCUGGAAACGGCGUCUAAUACCGGAUACGAGCUGCGAAGGCAUCUUCAGCAGCUGGAAAGAACUUCGGUCAAGGAUGAGCUCGCGGCCUAUCAGCUUGUUGGUGAGGUAACGGCUCACCAAGGCGUCGACGGGUAGCCGGCCUGAGAGGGUGACCGGCCACACUGGGACUGAGACACGGCCCAG
Molecule: ribosomal RNA, 308 nt
Filed under: uncultured bacterium
Lineage: Bacteria
Description: bacterial SSU rRNA
Rfam family: Bacterial small subunit ribosomal RNA
Source: RNAcentral